Molecule: ribosomal RNA, 390 nt
Filed under: fungal sp.
Lineage: Eukaryota; Fungi
Description: SSU rRNA
Rfam family: Eukaryotic small subunit ribosomal RNA
Source: RNAcentral
CGUGUGGUUCUAUUUUGUUGGUUUCUAGGACCGCCGUAAUGAUUAAUAGGGACAGUCGGGGGCAUCAGUAUUCAAUUGUCAGAGGUGAAAUUCUUGGAUUUAUUGAAGACUAACUACUGCGAAAGCAUUUGCCAAGGAUGUUUUCAUUAAUCAGGAACGAAAGUUAGGGGAUCGAAGACGAUCAGAUACCGUCGUAGUCUUAACCAUAAACUAUGCCGACUAGGGAUCGGACGGUGUUAUAUUUUGACCCGUUCGGCACCUUACGAGAAAUCAAAGUGCUUGGGCUCCAGGGGGAGUAUGGUCGCAAGGCUGAAACUUAAAGAAAUUGACGGAAGGGCACCACCAGGGGUGGAGCCUGCGGCUUAAUUUGACUCAACACGGGGAAACUCA